This 253-nucleotide ribosomal RNA is filed under the name uncultured bacterium. RNAcentral describes it as "partial 16S ribosomal RNA". It matches the Rfam family "Bacterial small subunit ribosomal RNA", at positions 524 to 776 of the family's 1533-position model. The record is from RNAcentral.
UACGGAGGGGGCUAGCGUUGUUCGGAAUUACUGGGCGUAAAGCGUGCGCAGGCGGUUCGUUGUGUCGGCGGUGAAAGCCCCGGGCUUAACCUGGGAAUGGCCGUCGAAACUGGCGAACUGGAGUGUGGCAGAGGGGGGUGGAAUUCCGCGUGUAGCAGUGAAAUGCGUAGAGAUGCGGAGGAACACCGAUGGCGAAGGCAGCCCCCUGGGCUGACACUGACGCUCAGGCACGAAAGCGUGGGGAGCAAACAGG